UCAAGAACAGAAAACAGUGCUAGCCUCUGUUUUUUCAGUGUUGUCUGCCAUCUAUGCCUCACAGACUGAGCAAGAGUAUCUAAAGAUAGAAAAAGCCUCAUUCGGGUCUUACAAAAUAUGGAACAGUGUCAGAAAAAACCAGAGAACUCGGCGGAGUCUAACACAGAAGAAACUAAAAAGACUGAUUUAACCCAAGAUGAUUUCCACUUGAAAAUCUUAAAGGAUAUUUUAUGUGAAUUUCUUUCUAAUAUUUUUCAGGCAUUAACAAAGGAGACGGUGGCUCAGGGAGUAAAGGAAGGCCAGUUGAGCAAACAGAAGUGUUCCUCUGCAUUUCAAAACCUUCUUCCUUUCUAUAGCCCUGUGGUGGAAGAUUUUAUUAAAAUCCUACGUGAAGUUGAUAAGGCGCUUGCUGAUGACUUGGAAAAAAGCUUCCCAAGUUUGAAGGUUCAGACUUAAAACCUGAAUUGGAAUUACUUCUGUACAAGAAAUAAACUUUAUUUUUCUCACUGA
Molecule: small RNA, 510 nt
Filed under: Pongo abelii (Sumatran orangutan)
Lineage: Eukaryota; Metazoa; Chordata; Mammalia; Primates; Hominidae
Description: processed transcript
Source: RNAcentral